RNAcentral lists this ribosomal RNA (460 nucleotides) under uncultured bacterium. Its description in RNAcentral is "partial 16S ribosomal RNA". It matches the Rfam family "Bacterial small subunit ribosomal RNA", at positions 338 to 795 of the family's 1533-position model. The record is from RNAcentral.
CCUACGGGAGGCUGCAGUGAGGAAUAUUGGUCAAUGGACGAGAGUCUGAACCAGCCAAGUAGCGUGAAGGAUGACUGCCCUAUGGGUUGUAAACUUCUUUUAUAUGGGAAUAAAAUGUUCAACGUGUGGGAUUUUGUAUGUACCAUAUGAAUAAGGAUCGGAUAACUCCGUGCCAGCAGUCGCGGUAAUACGGAGGAUCCGAGCGUUAUCCGGAUUUUUUGGGUUUAAAGGGAGCGUAGGGGGAUUGUUAAGUCAGUUGUGAAAGUUUGCGGCUCAACCGUAAAAUUGCAGUUGAAACUGGCAGUCUUGAGUACAGUAGAGGUGGGCGGAAUUCGUGGUGUAGCGGUGAAAUGCUUAGAUAUCACGAAGAACUCCGAUUGCGAAGGCAGCUCACUGGACUGCAACUGACACUGAGGCUCGAAAGUGUGGGUAUCAAACAGGAUUAGAUACCCGAGUAGUC